GCUGGGUAUGGUGGCUUAUGCCUGUAAUCCCAGCACUCUGGGAGGCAGAGGUGGGUGGAUCACCUGAGGCCAGGAGAUUGAGACCAGCCUGGCCAACAUGGUGAAACCCCAUCUCUA
This is an unclassified non-coding RNA of Pongo abelii (Sumatran orangutan), 117 nucleotides long. It matches the Rfam family "Metazoan signal recognition particle RNA". Rfam says of the family: The signal recognition particle (SRP) is a universally conserved ribonucleoprotein. It is involved in the co-translational targeting of proteins to membranes. The record is from Ensembl. Lineage: Eukaryota; Metazoa; Chordata; Mammalia; Primates; Hominidae.